RNAcentral lists this ribosomal RNA (1566 nucleotides) under metagenome. Its description in RNAcentral is "bacterial LSU rRNA". It matches the Rfam family "Bacterial large subunit ribosomal RNA", at positions 1344 to 2925 of the family's 2925-position model. The record is from RNAcentral.
CCCAAGGUUUCCAGGGGAAGGUUCGUCCGCCCUGGGUUAGUCGGGACCUAAGCCGAGGCCGAAAGGCGUAGGUGAUGGACAACAGGUUGAUAUUCCUGUACCGCCAAUAAGCGUUUGAGAGAUGGAGUGACACAGUAGGAUAAGCUAACCGUACUGUUGGUUAUGUACGGCUAAGCAUUGAGGCAGUCUAAAUAGGCAAAUCCGUUUAGACAAUGCUAGGAUGUGAUGGGGAAGCCCUUCGGGGCGAAGUAGCUGAUUUCACACUGUCAAGAAAAGCUUCUAUCGAGUUUAAAGGCGCCCGUACCGUAAACCGACACAGGUGGGUGAGGAGAGUAUCCUAAGGCCAGCGAGAGAACUAUUGUUAAGGAACUCGGCAAAAUGACCCCGUAACUUAGGGAGAAGGGGUGCCUGUCUAUGACAGGCCGCAGAGAAUAGGCCCAAGCGACUGUUUACCAAAAACACAGGUUUCUGCUAAGUCGCAAGACGAUGUAUAGGAGCUGACGCCUGCCCGGUGCUGGAAGGUUAAGGGGAUCUGUUAGAGCAAUCGAAGCAGUGAACUUAAGCCCCAGUAAACGGCGGCCGUAACUAUAACGGUCCUAAGGUAGCGAAAUUCCUUGUCGGGUAAGUUCCGACCCGCACGAAAGGCGUAACGAUUUGGGCACUGUCUCAACAAUAGACUCGGUGAAAUUGUAAUCCCGGUGAAGAUGCCGGGUACCUGCGACAGGACGGAAAGACCCCAUGGAGCUUUACUGUAGCUUGACGUUGGGUCUUGGUAUUACAUGUACAGGAUAGGUGGGAGACUAUGAAGCAUGGACGCCAGUCUGUGUGGAGUCAUCCUUGGGAUACCACCCUUGUAGUACUGGGAUCCUAACCAUAGGCCUUGAAUCAGGUCUUGGAACACCGUCAGGUGGGCAGUUUGACUGGGGCGGUCGCCUCCUAAAAAGUAACGGAGGCGCUCAAAGGUUUCCUCAGCACGGUCGGAAAUCGUGCGAAGAGUGUAAAGGCAAAAGGAAGCUUGAUUGCAAGACAUACAGGUCGAGCAAGGACGAAAGUCGGACUUAGUGAUCCGGUGGUACCGCAUGGAAGGGCCAUCGCUCAACGGAUAAAAGCUACCCUGGGGAUAACAGGCUUAUCUCCCCCAAGAGUCCACAUCGACGGGGAGGUUUGGCACCUCGAUGUCGGCUCAUCACAUCCUGGGGCUGUAGUAGGUCCCAAGGGUUGGGCUGUUCGCCCAUUAAAGUGGUACGCGAGCUGGGUUCAGAACGUCGUGAGACAGUUCGGUCCCUAUCCGUCGCAGGCGUAGGAAAUUUGAGAAGACCUGUCCUUAGUACGAGAGGACCGGGAUGGACGUACCUCUGGUGUACCAGUUGUUCUGCCAAGGGCAUGGCUGGGUAGCUAUGUACGGAAUGGAUAAGCGCUGAAAGCAUCUAAGCGCGAAGCCAACUUCAAGAUAAGAUUUCCCACCGUAAGGGUAAGACCCCAGGAAGACUACCUGGUUGAUAGGUCGAAGGUGUAAGUGCAGUAAUGUAUUUAGCUUAUCGAUACUAAUAGGUCGAGGACUUGACC